Molecule: ribosomal RNA, 3172 nt
Filed under: candidate division Kazan bacterium GW2011_GWA1_44_22
Lineage: Bacteria
Description: bacterial LSU rRNA
Rfam family: Bacterial large subunit ribosomal RNA
Source: RNAcentral
AGGGCUGUCGGUGGAUGCCUUGGGAGAAGUAGACGAUGAAGGACGUAGCAGGCUGCGAUAAGCCUCGGGUAGGUGCCAAGCAACCUUUAAUCCGGGGAUUUCCGAAUGGGGUAACCCCCCCGCAGAGAUAACCACGUGAACUGAAACAUCUUAGUAACGUGAGGAAAAUAGAAAAAUAUUUUAUUCCCUUAGUAGUGGCGAGCGAAAAGGGAAGAGUCUAAACUUUCGUUGUGUUAAAGCCUACUGGCCUUGCAGCGAGAGGGUUAUAAGAGAUUGCAUCUUGAACAGUAGAUCAAGUCAGAAGUCAAAAAUUAUUUUCUUAGCCGAAAGUCUCUGGAAAGAGCUACCAUAGCGAGUGACAGUCUCGUAGGCGAAAAGAAAAUAACUUCGAGCAGUUUUCUUAAGUACGGCGGGACCCGUGAAAUCCUGUCGGAAAUUGCCAGGACCAUCUGGUAAGACUAAAUACUACUUCUCACCGAUAGUGAACUAGUACCGUGAGGGAAAGGUGAAAAGUCCCCCGAGAGGGGAGUGAAAUAGUACCUGAAACUGACAGCCCGUAUAAAAGUCGGAGCCCCUCACUAAUUUUGAGGUGAUCUAUUUUUUGUAGUCCGUGUAUUAAAAAGCAUGGGAUAACAUUAAAAUGAUUACGCCAGAAUUAGUGAGGGGUGACGGCGUGCCUUUUGUAGAAUGAGCCGACGAGUUAAUCUCAACAGCGAGGCUAAGCUUUUAAGAAAGCGGAGCCGUAGCGAAAGCGAGUGUGAAUAGCGCGACUUAGUUGUUGGGAUUAGACCCGAAACCGGGUGAUCUAAUUAUGGUCAGGCUGAAGCUGCCCUAAUAAGCAGUGGAGGGCCGCACCCACUUACGUUGAAAAGUGAGGGGAUGAACUGUGAUUAGCGGAGAAAUUCCAAUCGAACCCGGAGAUAGCUGGUUCUCUUCGAAAUAUAUUUAGGUAUAGCCUCGUGUGUUCGUUGAAGUGGUAGAGCUACUGAAUGGAUUCGGGCGGGAAACCGUACCGCGUCCAAUUAAACUCCGAAUACUUCAUACUCAAUAACACGGGAGUCAGUCUGUGACGGCUAAGCGCCAUGGUCGAGAGGGGAAAAACCCAGACCACCAAUUAAGGUCCCUAAAUUCUAGCUAAGUGUUAAAGGAAGUGGAGAUACAUAAACAACCAGGAGGUUGGCUUAGAAGCAGCCACCCUUUAAAGAAAGCGUAACAGCUCACUGGUCGACGUAUUUCCGCGCCGAAAAUUUAUCGGGGCUCAAGCUAGGUACCGAAGUUGUGGCUGCCGCUGCUUUGCAGCGGUGGAGUAGAAGAGCGUUCUGUUCGGCGGUGAAGCCUGACCGUGAGGUCUGGUGGAGCGGACAGAAGUGAGAAUGUCGGCACGAGUAACGUAACAACGCAGGUGAAAAACCUGCGCGCCGAAAACCUAAGGUUUCCUGGGCUAUGUUAAUCAUCUCAGGGUUAGUCGGUCCUAAGGCGAGGCCGUAAGGCGUAGUCGAUGGACAACAGGUUAAUAUUCCUGUACUACUGUUGAUUCGUCCCAAACUUUGUGCGUUCUACGCCGGAAAGGUUAUCCCUCACUUUCUCGAACUGAUUAUUUUGUUAAAAAUUAUUUACUCAGGUAAGUAGUUUAUCAAAAGAUUGAAAUUGGUUUUAGAAAGUGAGGGACAAACGUCUGGUUGCAGAUGCAUUAAGUUUAGCUAAGGGGUGACGCGGUUUGGUAGAUUGAGCGAGUAUAGGUUUGCUCGUCUAAACUUUUAGUAGGAUCUCUUUGGCAAAUCCGGGAGAUCGGUCUGGCGUAAGCUGGGCAACUGCGAGAAGUGAUAGAAAGCGUUUCGGCUUGCCGGAAUGCAAUUUGAUUGAUCUAAACUGACCGGAAAACCCUCUCUGCGAGAAUUAAUGGUAUCCGUACCACAAACCGACACGGGUAGGUAGGUCGAGUAGACUAAGGCGAUCGAGACAACCCUCUUUAAGGAACUCGGCAAAAAAGCGUCCGUAACUUCGGGAUAAGGACUGCCAGCCAGAUUUUAUUUAUUAAGGUUUGGUUGGCCUCAGCGAAAGAUUUUCAUGCGACUGUUUAGCAAAAACUUAGGUCUCUGCUAACUCGAAAGAGGAUGUAUAGGGACUGAUGCUUGCCCAAUGCCAGAAGGUCACGUAGAUUGGUUAUUCAGAUUUAUCUGGAAAAGCUGAAACAUUAAGCCCUGGUGAAUGGCGGCCGUAACUAUAACGGUCCUAAGGUAGGAAAAGUUCCGACCCGCACGAAUAGCAUAACGAUAUGAAAACUGUCUCAAAGAGGGGCUCGGUGAAACUACAUUGCCGGUGAAGAUGCCGGCUAUGCGCAGCAAGACAAAAAGACCCCGUGGAGCUUUACUACAUCCUGAUACUGAAUUAAGUUUUAGUUUGUGUAGGAUAGGUGGGAGACUUAGAAGCCUGGGCGUUAGCCUGGGUGGAGUCAACGUUGAAAUACCACCCUAAUUAUUUCUUAAUUCUAACCUUUGCCGUAAUCCGGUAUGGGGACAGUGUUUGGUGGGUAGUUUAACUGGGGCGGUUGCCUCCCAAAAAGUAACGGAGGCGUUCAAAGGUUCCCUAGCAUCGAAUGGAAACCGAUGUGAUAGCGCAAUAGCAUAUGGGAGCUUAACUGCGAGACUUACAAGUCCAGCAGAUACGAAAGUAGGAUAUAGUGAUCCGACGGUUGCACAUGGGUGCGCCGAAGCUCAACGAAUAAAAGUUACCCCGGGGAUAACAGGCUUAUCAGGUCCAAGAGUCCACAUCGACGACCUGGUUUGGCACCUGAUGUCGGCCCGUCGCAUCCUGGAGGGGAAGCACCUUCCAAGGGUUUGGCUGUUCGCCAAUUAAAGCGGCACGCGAGCUGGGUUCAGAACGGUGAGACAGUUCGGUCUCUAUCUGCUGUGCAUGUAGGAAAUUUGAGGAUAGUCACUUCUAGUACGAGAGGACCGAAGUGAACGAACCGCUGGUGUACCAGUUGUUUUACCAAAAGCACCGCUGGGUAGCUAUGUUCGGACAGGAUAAGCGCUGAAAGCAUCUAAGUGCGAAGCCCCAUCCAAAACAGAUUUCCAGUCCGUAAGGAUAAAGGACCCAAGUAGACCACUUGGUUGAUAGGCAACAAGUGUAAGCCCAGUAAUGGGUUGAGCUGAGUUGUACUAAUAGUCCA